Otolemur garnettii (small-eared galago) is the source of this 101-nucleotide non-coding RNA. Lineage: Eukaryota; Metazoa; Chordata; Mammalia; Primates; Galagidae. The record is from Rfam.
AUCCUUUUGUAGUUCAUAAACAUGAUUGGUUGUUCACAUGCAUGUGUGAAAUGUUCUUUUCUCAAGCCUUGUUAUGACAUUGGCACAUUAAUUUUUUUUCC